This 500-nucleotide ribosomal RNA is filed under the name uncultured bacterium. RNAcentral's name for it is "partial 16S ribosomal RNA". It matches the Rfam family "Bacterial small subunit ribosomal RNA", at positions 30 to 523 of the family's 1533-position model. The record is from RNAcentral.
AUUGAACGCUGGCGGCAGGCCUAACACAUGCAAGUCGAGCGGUAGAGAGAAGCUUGCUUCUCUUGAGAGCGGCGGACGGGUGAGUAAUGCCUAGGAAUCUGCCUGGUAGUGGGGGAUAACGUUCGGAAACGGACGCUAAUACCGCAUACGUCCUACGGGAGAAAGCAGGGGACCUUCGGGCCUUGCGCUAUCAGAUGAGCCUAGGUCGGAUUAGCUAGUUGGUGGGGUAAUGGCUCACCAAGGCGACGAUCCGUAACUGGUCUGAGAGGAUGAUCAGUCACACUGGAACUGAGACACGGUCCAGACUCCUACGGGAGGCAGCAGUGGGGAAUAUUGGACAAUGGGCGAAAGCCUGAUCCAGCCAUGCCGCGUGUGUGAAGAAGGUCUUCGGAUUGUAAAGCACUUUAAGUUGGGAGGAAGGGCAGUAAAUUAAUACUUUGCUGUUUUGACGUUACCGACAGAAUAAGCACCGGCUAACUCUGUGCCAGCAGCCGCCGCAG